RNAcentral lists this ribosomal RNA (448 nucleotides) under uncultured bacterium. Its description in RNAcentral is "bacterial SSU rRNA". It matches the Rfam family "Bacterial small subunit ribosomal RNA", at positions 329 to 794 of the family's 1533-position model. The record is from RNAcentral.
CGCCAGACUCCUACGGGAGGCAGCAGUGGGGAAUAUUGCACAAUGGGGGAAACCCUGAUGCAGCAACGCCGCGUGAGUGAAGAAGUAUUUCGGUAUGUAAAGCUCUAUCAGCAGGGAAGAAAAUGACGGUACCUGAGUAAGAAGCCCCGGCUAACUACGUGCCAGCAGCCGCGGUAAUACGUAGGGGGCAAGCGUUAUCCGGAUUUACUGGGUGUAAAGGGAGCGUAGACGGCGAUGCAAGUCUGAAGUGAAAGCCCGGGGCUCAACCCCGGGACUGCUUUGGAAACUGUAUGGCUGGAGUGCUGGAGAGGCAAGCGGAAUUCCUAGUGUAGCGGUGAAAUGCGUAGAUAUUAGGAGGAACACCAGUGGCGAAGGCGGCUUACUGGACGGUAACUGACGUUGAGGCUCGAAAGCGUGGGGAGCAAACAGGAUUAGAUACCCCAGUACU